GAAGCUGACCAGACAGUCGCCGCUUCGUCGUCGUCCUCCUUCGGGGGGAGACGGGCGGAGGGGAGGAAAGUCCGGGCUCCAUAGGGCAAGGUGCCAGGUAACGCCUGGGGGGUGUCACAGCCCACGACCAGUGCAACAGAGAGCAAACCGCCGAUGGCCCGCGCAAGCGGGAUCAGGUAAGGGUGAAAGGGUGCGGUAAGAGCGCACCGCGCGGCUGGUAACAGUCCGUGGCACGGUAAACUCCACCCGGAGCAAGGCCAAAUAGGGGUUCAUAAGGUACGGCCCGUACUGAACUCGGGUAGGCUGCUUGAGCCAGUGAGCGAUUGCUGGCCUAGAUGAAUGACUGUCCACGACAGAACCCGGCUUAUCGGUCAGUUUCACUC
Molecule: RNase P RNA, 383 nt
Filed under: Klebsiella quasipneumoniae subsp. similipneumoniae
Lineage: Bacteria; Pseudomonadati; Pseudomonadota; Gammaproteobacteria; Enterobacterales; Enterobacteriaceae
Also listed under: 1 other name
Description: RNase P RNA component class A
Rfam family: Bacterial RNase P class A
About the family: Ribonuclease P (RNase P) is a ubiquitous endoribonuclease, found in archaea, bacteria and eukarya as well as chloroplasts and mitochondria. Its best characterised activity is the generation of mature 5'-ends of tRNAs by cleaving the 5'-leader elements of precursor-tRNAs.
Source: RNAcentral